RNAcentral lists this ribosomal RNA (500 nucleotides) under uncultured bacterium. RNAcentral describes it as "bacterial SSU rRNA". It matches the Rfam family "Bacterial small subunit ribosomal RNA", at positions 9 to 507 of the family's 1533-position model. The record is from RNAcentral.
CGAGUUUGAUCAUGGCUCAGUAUUGAACGCUGGCGGAAUGCUUUACACAUGCAAGUCGAACGGUAGAGGGGGCAACCCUUGAGAGUGGCGAACGGGUGAGUAAUAUAUCGGAACGUGCCCAGUCGUGGGGGAUAACGUAGCGAAAGUUACGCUAAUACCGCAUACGAUCUAAGGAUGAAAGCGGGGGAUCGCAAGACCUCGCGCGAUUGGAGCGGCCGAUAUCAGAUUAGGUAGUUGGUGAGGUAAAGGCUCACCAAGCCGACGAUCUGUAGCUGGUCUGAGAGGACGACCAGCCACACUGGGACUGAGACACGGCCCAGACUCCUACGGGAGGCAGCAGUGGGGAAUUUUGGACAAUGGGCGCAAGCCUGAUCCAGCAAUGCCGCGUGCAGGAUGAAGGCCUUCGGGUUGUAAACUGCUUUUGUACGGAACGAAACGGUGAGCUCUAAUACAGUUUGCUAAUGACGGUACCGUAAGAAUAAGCACCGGCUAACUACGUG